GUGGGGAAUCUUGCGCAAUGGGCGAAAGCCUGACGCAGCCAUGCCGCGUGAAUGAUGAAGGUCUUAGGAUUGUAAAAUUCUUUCACCGGGGACGAUAAUGACGGUACCCGGAGAAGAAGCUCCGGCUAACUUCGUGCCAGCAGCCGCGGUAAUACGAAGGGGGCUAGCGUUGCUCGGAAGUACUGGGCGUAAAGGGCGCGUAGGCGGACAGCUUAGUCAGAGGUGAAAGCCCAGGGCUCAACCUUGGAAUUGCCUUUGAUACUGGCUGUCUUGAGUUUGGGAGAGGUGAGUGGAACUCCGAGUGUAGAGGUGAAAUUCGUAGAUAUUCGGAAGAACACCAGUGGCGAAGGCGACUCACUGGCCCAAUACUGACGCUGAGGCGCGAAAGCGUGGGGAGCAAACAGGAUUAGAAACCCUGGUAGUCC
RNAcentral lists this ribosomal RNA (425 nucleotides) under uncultured bacterium. RNAcentral's name for it is "partial 16S ribosomal RNA". It matches the Rfam family "Bacterial small subunit ribosomal RNA", at positions 354 to 796 of the family's 1533-position model. The record is from RNAcentral.